RNAcentral lists this ribosomal RNA (1243 nucleotides) under metagenome. Its description in RNAcentral is "bacterial SSU rRNA". It matches the Rfam family "Bacterial small subunit ribosomal RNA", at positions 260 to 1520 of the family's 1533-position model. The record is from RNAcentral.
UUGGCCUACCAAGGCAAUGAUCUAUAGCUGAUCUGAGAGGAUGAUCAGCCACACUGGAACUGAGAUACGGUCCAGACUCCUAUGGGAGGCAGCAGUGGGGAAUAUUGGACAAUGGGCGAAAGCCUGAUCCAGCCAUGCCGCAUGAGUGGAGAAGGCCUUCGGGUUGUAAAGCUCUUUUAGUGAGGAAGAUAAUGACGGUACUCACAGAAGAAGUCCUGGCUAACUCCGUGCCAGCAGCCGCGGUAAUACGGAGAGGGCUAGCGUUAUUCGGAAUCAUUGGGCGUAAAGGGCGCGUAGGCGGAUUAGUAAGUUAAAAGUGAAAUCCCAAGGCUCAACCUUGGAAUUGCUUUUAAAACUGCUAGUCUAGAGAUUGAAAGAGGAUAGAGGAAUUCCUAGUGUAGAGGUGAAAUUCGUAAAUAUUAGGAGGAACACCAGUGGCGAAGGCGUCUAUCUGGUUCAAAUCUGACGCUGAGGCGCGAAGGCGUGGGGAGCAAACAGGAUUAGAUACCCUGGUAGUCCACGCUGUAAACGAUGAAUGUUAAAUAUGGGAAGUUUACUUUCUGUAUUACAGCUAACGCGUUAAACAUUCCGCCUGGGGACUACGGUCGCAAGAUUAAAACUCAAAGGAAUUGACGGGGACCCGCACAAGCGGUGGAGCAUGUGGUUUAAUUCGAUGCAACGCGAAAAACCUUACCACUUCUUGACAUGGAAAUUAUACCUAUUCGAAGGGAUAGGGUCGGUUCGGCCGGGUUUCACACAGGUGUUGCAUGGCUGUCGUCAGCUCGUGUCGUGAGAUGUUGGGUAAAGUCCCGCAACGAGCGCAACCCUCAUCCUUAGUUACCAUCAGGUAAUGCUGGGGACUUUAAGGAAACUGCUAGUGAUAAACUGGAGGAAGGUGGGGAUGAUGUCAAGUCAUCAUGGCCCUUAUGAAGUGGGCUACACACGUGCUACAAUGGUGGCUACAAUGGGCUGCAAAGUCGCGAGGCUAAGCUAAUCCCUUAAAAGCCAUCUCAGUUCGAAUUGCACUCUGCAACUCGAGUGCAUGAAGUUGGAAUCGCUAGUAAUCGUGGAUCAGCAUGCCACGGUGAAUACGUUCUCGGGUCUUGUACACACUGCCCGUCACGCCAUGGGAAUUGGUUUCACUCGAAGCUAACGACCUAACCGCAAGGAGGGAGUUAUUUAAAGUGGGAUCGGUGACUGGGGUGAAGUCGAAACAAGGUAGCGGUAGGGGAAUCUGCAGCUG